Molecule: long non-coding RNA, 549 nt
Organism: Panicum virgatum (switchgrass)
Lineage: Eukaryota; Viridiplantae; Streptophyta; Magnoliopsida; Poales; Poaceae
Exons: 3
Source: RefSeq, a predicted model, not a curated record
AAUUAUGAUGUAUAUAUGGUUUAGUUGUCUUUGCUUUGCUGCCUUUGUGAUGAGUAAACUGCACUGUGCAAACACUAUCUGUGUCAAGUAUAAUUUGGCAUUUCCCAUGUGUUGAGAUAUGUAACUUUUAGCAUGUGAAUCGCGCUCCCUUGUUAAAAUGUUGUAAUUGGAAGGGAGAUUCAACUUGUGGAAAUUUGCUCCAACUCAUCAAUAUCACUCUACUAUUCUAUAUCAUUGUAAAUUGCAGGUGAUGCUAUGAAGAAGCUUUUGAGGAAAAACAACAGUAAUGGAAGGGAGAUUCAUAUGUGUUUUAGUUAUUUUUGGCUAAAAAUAUGGAAUGGAUAAAAUUGUUGCAUGCCUGCACGAUUCUAUGAGGUCUUUUCUUUCUGGUUCAGAUAGCAAGAAUGCUCAAAAUGUGAUAGGUGAUUUUUGAAUAGCAGUUAUUUGGGGAAUAUAUAUGCUACACUUGUCAUUCUCAAAAUGUGUGUGUUCGGAUGGAGCUGGAUCAUCAUGCUGGGCAAGAACCAAAGAUCAUCGCGGCCACGCUUC